CCUACGGGAGGCAGCAGUGGGGAAUAUUGCACAAUGGGGGAAACCCUGAUGCAGCAACGCCGCGUGAGUGAUGAAGGUCUUCGGAUUGUAAAACUCUGUCUUUGGGGACGAUAAUGACGGUACCAAAGGAGGAAGCCACGGCUAACUACGUGCCAGCAGCCGCGGUAAUGAGUA
This 174-nucleotide ribosomal RNA is filed under the name uncultured Bacillota bacterium. RNAcentral's name for it is "uncultured Firmicutes bacterium partial 16S ribosomal RNA". It matches the Rfam family "Bacterial small subunit ribosomal RNA", at positions 338 to 529 of the family's 1533-position model. The record is from RNAcentral. Lineage: Bacteria; Bacillati; Bacillota.